CAAACUUUUGAAAUCAUGGAGAACAGGCUGUUGGGGGCUAGGAUUCUUUCCUUUUAUUACUUUAUACUCAGGAAUUUUUUUUUCCCAUAAGUUGCUAGGAAACACUAAUGACUGGGGUACUUAAAAAAACCUAAAGAAGUGGCCAAGCUCAAGGGAGGAGGGCAUAUGGUUGCACUUCUCUUAUCUGGGAGUUUCUCUCAGAGAAUUGUGCAGGUAAAGGAUGGGCUGGGCAGCUGCUGGCCCUCUCUUGGCUUUGGAAGAGGAUGGUCAGAGCUCCUGCUUGGGGAAGGGAAUUCGCUGCUGCACUGGAGCCCAGCCCGGAGCUGCUUCUUUGCCGAGGAAUCCAGUUCUCACAGCCAUAGGCAUCUUUGCCAUUUGAGUCAUGAAGGAAGACAGACAUUUCUUCACAACUCUGUUCUAAAAGUGGCCACUGGAGAUGUUGGAACACCAUUGCAAUUUUUUCUGGUUCUUGAGCUCAACAUUUAAAAAACUUAUACUGUGCAUUAGUGUAAUGAAAUAUUGUUUAUGCUAUCAACUAUUGGAUUGGAGGGCUAAAAUUUGUUCAGCUUCUCAGACAUAUAUUAGCUUUAAUAAUAUAUGUAUGAGAAGCUGACAUAUAUUAUUAAAUGGAAGUGUGAUACCUGAAUAUCUAAACAACUCUGAAAUUCUGAGUUGAAAAAAAGAGAGAUGAAGAUAAGAUAUAUGCUCCAUUUAUAAGUGGUUUUUUGGUUUUGGUUUGCUUGAUUUGGAGGGGUUUUUUUGUUGUUGUGAUGGUGGUUGUUGUUGGUUUUGGGUUUUUUGGGUUGUUUUUUUCGGUUUGUUUUGGGUUUUUUGGGUUCUGGCUUUUUUUGGUUUUUUGGGGGGUUUUUUUUGUUUGUUUUGUUAUUUUGGUUUUCUUUCUUGGUUGGUUUUGGUUUUGAUUUUGUUUGUUUUGUUUGUUUUUUUUUCUUAAGUUCCCUAGUAUUUCAGUGUGAAUGACCAUCCAGUUACAAUAUGGAUGGCAAAAAUUUUUCAUCAGGCUUAGGUGAUAAUCAAGACAGUCCAUGUAUGUAGAUUCAAUUUAUAGAGCUUGGGUAAAGUGAAUUAGUUCAAGCUGUAGCAUUUAAGUUACCAAACAAGAUUAACUUAAUUACUGACAAGCAUAGAAUGAAGUCAUACAUAGUUCAGAAAAUUUCAAAAACAUAAACAUAAAACUGUCUGGCUGGUUGCAUUAUUGAGGGUAUAUUUUAUUUCUAGUAUUCUUUAGGCUAUAUGUAUCACAUAUCAAAGGGAAGAACAGAGAAAAAGUCAGCAUAGACACAUUCAAUGAAUUAAGUGCACUUCUAAGAAUGGCUGAGGAAUGGUACUGCGAAUAUGUGAAGUCCACAACUGUUUUUCCUAGCCUUUCAAUGUCAAUUCUUGUGGACAAGAGAAAGAAAAGGCUUUCAUUUAAAGAGCUCCACCAUAACAUCUGCUGAAUAUAUCACAGAUUAUAUCAAAUGCUUUCAUUUUAAGAAGGUAAAUGCAAUUUAAAGUACAUAGUGUAAUGUAAGAGAUUCUCAGCAUAGUGUAGACACAUGUUCUCUUGUAAUAACUAGAGUUCAGUAAAUAUUCAUGGGAGUUUUCUGCAAUAUAUUAUGCUAUUGCACUAUACUACUAAUACAUAUUUCAAUUUAAGGAACGUACUAAAAUUCACAAUUAAAUUUACAUCAAUGUCUUAUGUCAUACAAACAAAUGGAAGGCUUUGCACAAAAAAACCAGAUAUAUUCAGGCAGAAAUCCAAACAAGGAAAGCAUUUGACAAAAUGUACAGCUCAUGAUAUCACUGAAAUAGCUAAUCAUUUUUAUUUACAUACAUUAUAAACUUCUCUAUAUCCAAAGAGCAGGUCCAGCAAGUUACAUUCCUUAUUUAGCUAGCUCAUCAACUUCAUGUCAGGAAGUUAUGUCUGCACUAUUCAGGAACCUCCAAGACUUACUCUUCUCUACUAUAUUCUAUUUCCAGCUGACCUCUGUUAAGAUGAAAGGAAAAGAAAAUCACAAGACUUCUGCUAACUGCUUAUAGGCUAUUCUGCCUCUACAUCCUGGCAUGCAUUUUUGUAGAUGCACAUCAGAUGGGUUAUCAAUCCUGCUACCUUUUCAUGGGAGAAGCUGUAGCUCCUGCAUGACCAUUCUCAGGAGUUUCCAUGGAUUCCACAUCCAGAAAUAUUGUAACUUUGCAUCUUUGCUGCUACAUGGGUCAUCAUACCCUAUCUCUAUUAUUAUUUCAGCAGACUGAAAGGUUUCACUAAUACAUUGUCCCUCAAAGAGUUUUGUGCCACCCUAGGCUUAUUUCCAGUGAUUGUGAUUUUAUCCCUUUCCCCUUUUACAUUGAGUUUAAAGUUCUUUCAAUGAGACCUGCUAUCUCCUGCUCAAGGGUCCUUUUUCCCCUUUGAGACAUGCCAUCUAUUGCCAGCAGGCUCCAUGACAUGCAAACAGACUUGUGAUCAAAAACCUCAUAAUUCUUCUGGUGUCACCAGGCUUGGAAAGAGAUAUUCAUCUGUAUGAUUCUCCCAGUUCUACCCUCAUCACUCCCUGCAACUUGAAGGAUAAAGGAGAUCACUAUGUGUGCUUCAGAUUCCUCAAGCAGUCACCCAAAGCCCUGAGGUACUGCUCGAUUAACCUUCUUGUUUGGUCUUCACUGCUCACCACCUGAAAAAUCUAUGGUGAAAAAUAAUUAGAGCAGGCCUUAGAGUUUGUUGAUAAUGUCUCUAACCCAGACUCCAGGGAGGCAGCAGGCUUCCCCAUGGGUUUGGUUCAAUCAACAUUUUGUGCCCACUACUCCUCUCAGAAAGGAGUCACCAAAGAAAUCUCCCCUUGUUUUUUUCUUAACUGAGGCAGUCAUAACACAGAGGGUAACAUCUCCGUGCUGCACAAGCUUGUAUGUGGAUUAAUCUAAUAAAUAUUAGCAAGAUAGAAUUAUUAAGGUUAGAAUUUUUAAUAGUGGAUGUCUGUAGGCUAAAUGAUAUCUAAUUAAAUUGUUACAGGCUAUUGUAUUAAAUGAUAAUUGAAUUCCCAGAACAUUUCCCACACUUAAAAUGUAUUAACAUGAAUACGAUUGGGUAGUUAAUGGCUUGCUGAUAUUUUUCUUUUUUCCUUUCUUUAUUACUUUGCAUCUAGGGUUUUUUAUAUUCUCACUUAAUGUCUAUAAAUCUUCCAUUACGGACUUAGGCUGCAGAAUAGAGAUCCAUGGGAUCACAUGCCUUGACCUCAGCUGCUAGAUUUAAACAUUUUUUAGCUUUUUUGGAACACAGAGAAAGGAAAGCACAUACAUUUGUAAAAUGCAUGUAGAUUCUAUGCCUUCUUAAAUAUGUCAUAGAAGUAAGUAAAAGACAAAGUUCCACUAAUUCAGUUGCACAAUAAUUGCUACACUGCAAAAAAUGACAGGAAAGUUGUAUGGUCUAACAUCUUAACUAUAGAGAAAUUCUAUAUUGAAAACACAGAGCAGGCUUUUUUUUUGCUGAAAGGAAGCUGAAAUGCCAGCUUGCUUCCCAAAGCCAAAAUUUAUUUUCUAGGCAAAUUAAGGAUUUUCUAGUAUUUAAUGUUCAGAGGGUCUCAUGGUUAUUUCUGCCAUUAACCUAUGGAAGCAAUGAAUUCAGUUUGUUCAAACAGUGAACAAGGAAUAAAGUGUGAAUUUUUUUUCUACCACUA
Long non-coding RNA from Passer domesticus (house sparrow), 3665 nucleotides. RefSeq lists it as uncharacterized. The transcript is spliced from 3 exons. The record is from RefSeq and is a predicted model, not a curated record. NCBI's taxonomy places the organism in Eukaryota, Metazoa, Chordata, Aves, Passeriformes, Passeridae.